Acanthosepion pharaonis is the source of this 112-nucleotide non-coding RNA. NCBI's taxonomy places the organism in Eukaryota, Metazoa, Mollusca, Cephalopoda, Sepiida, Sepiidae. The record is from the annotation of a GenBank genome assembly.
UGCACCCACAUCACCUUGAAACACUAGUUCCCGUAGGAUCAUCGAAGUUAAACAACGUUAAGCCUGGUUAUUACCAAGAUGGGUGGCUUUUUGGGAAUACUAAUUGCUGAAA